GUUUGUUAGUUUCGACUCGAAAAUGUCAAAAAAUGCGAUAUCCGCUUUCGUGUUGUUCAGAUAUCACAGAUCAAGCACUUCUUUUGUUAAUCAAACAAAUGGCAGUCAUUUUAAGCUUAACACGUUUAAUGAACGAGAAUAAACAAAAUUAAGUGCCAGAGUUGGAUUUCGACCUGCAUUAUUAAUGAAGAUAAUAAAAAGCGUAAUGUAUUUGCAACUGAUUAUGGCAGCACAUAUGAAUCGGGUUGAAAAAAGAGACCAAUUGUAAUUCGGAGCAGAAUUCAAUGUUUUUUAUUGUGUUAAUUAUUGACAAUAAUUAUGCAUUAAUCGGCAACAAAUGUAUAAAUAAUUGCUGGGACAAUUGCUUGUGCCUUGAAUAUUGCGCAUACGACAUGUGCGCCAGCCAUAUGUUCUCAAUUUCGCAUUCCACGCAAUUUCAACAUGUUUGCGUAACUAAAUUUUGUUGCACAACCAUUUGAUCUAUGUAUGUUCGAAAGUUUGUUAUAAUUUUAGUCUUUUGUUUCCCAAAGCCCGACAAAGUUUGCCUGGAAAAACUGUUUUCAAAUUGAGCCACCAGCCACGUGUUCCUGGCUAAAAACCAAGCAGAAACUUCUUCUUUCAUCUGCUUUUAAUUGAACAUUUUUAAUUUAUGCACAAUAAAAACUGAUUUACCGAUGGCUACCCGUUCGGCUAGAAAAAGUUCAACUUUAACUUUUUAUGACUGACCCAAACAGAAAAAAUGAUGUCGAGAAGCAGGAAAAGAAAAAAAAAUUAUGAGCCAUAAAAGCGACCAAGGUGUGUGGGCCUGGCCUCUGUGUGUCUAUGAAAGCAAAACUAAAGUUUUGGUACAGCAACUUUUGGUUUUUAGUGCCGGCAGCUUGGUCCAUUUUAAGUGGCCAUGAAUUUCCCGGCCAGUGAGCAUCGGCUGCCAGCAAAGCGAGCACGUGGCUCCAUAAAGACAACUGGGAUUCAGCACCGAACCCACCCGGAUAUCAGAUAUUCUAUCCCAAAAAGUCGAGCCACCUGCAGGCGCCAUUGUUUUAGUUGCGGCCAUUCGCUCCAUUUUCCCCGCAUCCAAUUGGUUUUGUUUUUAAUUCCGUCAUGGCAGCCAGAACACGUGUGCCCGAAAUUGUUUAGAGUCAGUUAGCGUCGAAACGUGGCAGCCAUAAAUUGAUCAAAGCCAAAUACUUCAACUAAAAGCAAAAAUUAUGUUUUGAUUUUCAGAGGAGCAACCUGUUUUAUUUCGCAACGAAAAGUGUCAAAUUGCAAUUUCUCUUAACAAGCAUUUUAAAUUACAUUUUCAUACUGUUAAUUAAAUCAGUUGUGCCGAAUAUAUUCACACUUUCUGAAAUGUCUAACCAUAAGAAUACUAUAAACCAAUCUACCGACUCAUAACCAAGAUGAAUCUAUAUUUGGCUCUCAUCCUGGCUGCAAUUUCUGGAAUUUCGAGUGCACCACAGCCUGGAGGUGGUUUCGCUCCCUAUAUAUAUGUUUGUAAUCCACCGCAUCCUGCUUGUCUGCUCUAUCAGCCAUUUAAUAAUACAGGCGCAAAUACGAGCUAGAAAAGCUACGUGAAAAUAAGUACGAAAAAUAAAGUAUGGAAGCCCUAAAGGUAAUAAACCUAAAGUGAAUUAACAUAAACGAA
Molecule: long non-coding RNA, 1645 nt
Organism: Drosophila teissieri
Lineage: Eukaryota; Metazoa; Arthropoda; Insecta; Diptera; Drosophilidae
Exons: 2
Source: RefSeq, a predicted model, not a curated record